Halichondria panicea is the source of this 806-nucleotide long non-coding RNA. RefSeq lists it as uncharacterized. The record is from RefSeq and is a predicted model, not a curated record. Lineage: Eukaryota; Metazoa; Porifera; Demospongiae; Suberitida; Halichondriidae. The transcript is spliced from 5 exons.
GUGACCGAAAGUGGGCGUAACCCUAAAAAUUUCGCGCUGCGCGCGACUUUCAUUACUUGCGCUGGCGCUAGUUAGUUUGGACCCCCCCUUUCAUUUUUCCUGGAUCCGCCACUGAGUGUGGUGGGGGAGCGACCUCCCACAGCUCAGGACUUAGAGGCAAUGCCCUACCUCAGAGGAUGCAUCAAGGAGAGCCUCAGAGUCAGGUCAGUUGUAAAUCUCUUCUCUGGUGUUCUGAAAAAAGAUGCCGUCGUCCAUGAUUACCAUGUACCUGCUGGGGUGAAUUUGAUAUACUUGAGUUACACGGCUGCAAAGAGCGACAAAAUGUUUGAUGAGCCAUCAAAGUUCAAGCUAGCCUCGAUUCAAGGCCAAUUAAAAUACGUAUUUUAAUCGGCCUGGAAUCGAGGCUAAGUUCAAGUCAGAGAGGUGGAUGAGAAAGAAUGGACCACAGCAGCAUCCCUUCUCAAUACUGCCAUUUGGGUUUGGACCCAGACAAUGUUAUGGGAAAAGAUUUGCUGGAUUAGAAAUGAAACUACUGCUGGUUGAAUUGGCUCGAAACUUUACUCUAAAGACAAACAAGGAGGACUUGAAGAUAGUUGAAAAACUGAUAGCCACAGUGAAGGAGGACGUCCCUCUUUUUUUAACUGACAGAAAUUAAUUAACAGGAGCUAUUAUUUUUGAAUCUGUGGUGGGUGUAAUGAUAUGAAUGCACCUGUCAACCCAAGGCUACAAGGUUUAAAAUAAAACGCCCAAACUGCACCGCUUUUGCGGCUUUAAAUCGAGGAUUUCUCACUCUUUGAGGUUCCAUG